UACAGAGGGGGCGAGCGUUGUUCGGAAUUACUGGGCGUAAAGGGCGCGUAGGCGGCCUCUUAAGUCGACCGUGAAAUCCCCGGGCUCAACCCGAGAACUGCGUCCGAUACUGGGGGGCUUGAAUCCGGGAGAGGGAUGUGGAAUUCCAGGUGUAGCGGUGAAAUGCGUAGAUAUCUGGAGGAACACCGGUGGCGAAGGCGGCAUCCUGGACCGGUAUUGACGCUGAGGCGCGAAAGCCAGGGGAGCAAACGGG
This 253-nucleotide ribosomal RNA is filed under the name uncultured bacterium. RNAcentral's name for it is "partial 16S ribosomal RNA". It matches the Rfam family "Bacterial small subunit ribosomal RNA", at positions 524 to 776 of the family's 1533-position model. The record is from RNAcentral.